This 495-nucleotide ribosomal RNA is filed under the name uncultured bacterium. RNAcentral describes it as "partial 16S ribosomal RNA". It matches the Rfam family "Bacterial small subunit ribosomal RNA", at positions 28 to 505 of the family's 1533-position model. The record is from RNAcentral.
GAUGAACGCUGGCGGCGCGCCUAAUACAUGCAAGUCGAGCGAACAGACGAGGAGCUUGCUCCUCUGACGUUAGCGGCGGACGGGUGAGUAACACGUGGAUAACCUACCUAUAAGACUGGGAUAACUUCGGGAAACCGGAGCUAAUACCGGAUAAUAUAUUGAACCGCAUGGUUCAAUAGUGAAAGACGGUUUUGCUGUCACUUAUAGAUGGAUCCGCGCCGCAUUAGCUAGUUGGUAAGGUAACGGCUUACCAAGGCAACGAUGCGUAGCCGACCUGAGAGGGUGAUCGGCCACACUGGAACUGAGACACGGUCCAGACUCCUACGGGAGGCAGCAGUAGGGAAUCUUCCGCAAUGGGCGAAAGCCUGACGGAGCAACGCCGCGUGAGUGAUGAAGGUCUUCGGAUCGUAAAACUCUGUUAUUAGGGAAGAACAAAUGUGUAAGUAACUAUGCACGUCUUGACGGUACCUAAUCAGAAAGCCACGGCUAACUACG